This 494-nucleotide ribosomal RNA is filed under the name uncultured soil bacterium. RNAcentral's name for it is "bacterial SSU rRNA". It matches the Rfam family "Bacterial small subunit ribosomal RNA", at positions 26 to 514 of the family's 1533-position model. The record is from RNAcentral.
AGAGUGAACGCUGGCGGCAGGCCUAACGCAUGCAAGUCGAACGGCAGCACGAGAGAGCUUGCUCUCUUGGUGGCGAGUGGCGGACGGGUGAGGAAUACGUCGGAAUCUGCCUUUUUGUGGGGGAUAACGUAGGGAAACUUACGCUAAUACCGCAUACGACCUACGGGUGAAAGCGGAGGACCUUCGGGCUUCGCGCAGAAAGAUGAGCCGACGUCGAUUAGCUAGUUGGAGGGGUAAUGGCCCACCAAGGCGACGAUCCGUAGCUGGUCUGAGAGGAUGAUCAGCCACACUGGGACUGAGACACGGCCCAGACUCCACGGGAGGCAGCAGUGGGAAUAGUUGGACAAGUGGGCGCAAGCCUAGGACUACCAGCCCAGUCGCCGCGUGUGGUAGAAGAAGGUCCUUGGGUUGUAAAGCUACUUUUGGUAACGGAAGUAAAAGCAAGUUCGGUUAAAGUACCCGGUUGUACCAUUACGACCGGUUAACGUAAGUAA